AAUCAACGCUGGCGGCGUGCCUAACACAUGCAAGUCGAACGAGAAAGGGUAGCAAUACCUGAGUAAAGUGGCGCACGGGUGAGUAACACGUGACUAACCUACCUUUUAGUGGGGGAUAACCUAGGGAAACCUGGGCUAAUACCGCAUAACACUUACGAGUCAAAGCAGCAAUGCGCUGAAAGAGGGGGUCGCGGUCGAUUAGUUAGUUGGCAGGGUAAUGGCCUACCAAGACUGUGAUCGAUAUCCGGCCUGAGAGGGCGCACGGACACACUGGAAC
Molecule: ribosomal RNA, 277 nt
Filed under: uncultured bacterium
Lineage: Bacteria
Description: partial 16S ribosomal RNA
Rfam family: Bacterial small subunit ribosomal RNA
Source: RNAcentral